RNAcentral lists this transfer RNA (72 nucleotides) under Gemmatimonadaceae bacterium. RNAcentral describes it as "tRNA-Cys". It matches the Rfam family "tRNA". From Rfam's summary of the family: Transfer RNA (tRNA) molecules are approximately 80 nucleotides in length. Their secondary structure includes four short double-helical elements and three loops (D, anti-codon, and T loops). Further hydrogen bonds mediate the characteristic L-shaped molecular structure. tRNAs have two regions of fundamental functional importance: the anti-codon, which is responsible for specific mRNA codon recognition, and the 3' end, to which the tRNAs corresponding amino acid is attached (by aminoacyl-tRNA synthetases). tRNAs cope with the degeneracy of the genetic code in two manners: having more than one tRNA (with a specific anti-codon) for a particular amino acid; and 'wobble' base-pairing, i.e. permitting non-standard base-pairing at the 3rd anti-codon position. The record is from RNAcentral. Lineage: Bacteria; Pseudomonadati; Gemmatimonadota; Gemmatimonadia; Gemmatimonadales; Gemmatimonadaceae.
GGCGCGGUAGCCAAGUGGUAAGGCAGCGGUCUGCAAAACCGCUAAUCGCGGGUUCGAUUCCCGCCCGCGCCU